Molecule: small nucleolar RNA, 107 nt
Organism: Coffea arabica (coffee)
Lineage: Eukaryota; Viridiplantae; Streptophyta; Magnoliopsida; Gentianales; Rubiaceae
Source: RefSeq, a predicted model, not a curated record
AGUCCAUAGUGUGGACAUUUCCAAAACAAAUCUCAAAACCUUUCCCAUGCUUCAUAUAAUGAUUCACCAUCUAAUUGACUAAAACUAAUAUUAUCCAUUCUGAGUUU